RNAcentral lists this long non-coding RNA (439 nucleotides) under Eutrema salsugineum. RNAcentral's name for it is "long non-coding RNA (ESAL_LNC002006)". The record is from RNAcentral. Lineage: Eukaryota; Viridiplantae; Streptophyta; Magnoliopsida; Brassicales; Brassicaceae.
AAUGAAAGACUCGAUCUUGUAUCGGAGUUCAUCGUCGGAAUCAAAUCUUUCGAAAGACGCAUCCGUCUCCGAUCUCCUUAAUCUUCCUAAAGAAAUCUUCUCCAAUCCCUCCAGAUUCUCCGACCGGCUUCGUUGGUAACUCUGAAUUUCCCUUUUCUCAGCCAAAUUCUGUUUCUCCAUCUUCUUCACAGUUACCUCCUGAUGAUCAACUAUGCUCUGUUUCUCUCGCUUUACUGAAUUGCUCUGUUUCUCUCGCUUUACUGAAUUGCUCUGUUUUCUAAAUUUCUCAGGUUUGCUCUGUUUUUCCCUCUUCUCAGAAGUCUUCUGUUUCGUCUUCUUCUCAAUUACAGUAUGUCUCCCCGCCUGAGCCGAAAUGAUCUGUUUUGCUAUGUUCUCAGUUGUGCUCUGCGUCUCUUUCUCUGCUGCAUUCUGUUUGUCU